CAAUGCCGCGUGUGUGAAGAAGGCCUGCGGGUUGUAAAGCACUUUCAGUUGGGAGGAAAAGCAGUGGGCUAAUACCCCGCUGUCUUGACGUAACCAACAGAAGAAGCACCGGCUAACUCUGUGCCAGCAGCCGCGGUAAUACAGAGGGUGCAAGCGUUAAUCGGAAUUACUGGGCGUAAAGCGCGCGUAGGCGGUUUUGUAAGUCGGAUGUGAAAGCCCCGGGCUUAACCUGGGAAUUGCAUUCGAUACUGCUUGACUGGAGUGUGGUAGAGGGAAGCGGAAUUCCGGGUGUAGCGGUGAAAUGCGUAGAGAUCCGGAGGAACAUCAGUGGCGAAGGCGGCUUCCUGGACCAACACUGACGCUGAGGUGCGAAAGCGUGGGAGCAAACAGGAUUAGAUACCCUGGUAGUCCACGCCGUAAACGAUGAGAACUAGACGGUUGGGGUUUUAUACCCUUAGUGUCGCAGCUAACGCGAUAAGUUCUCCGCCGUGGGGAGUACGGCCGCAAAGGUUA
RNAcentral lists this ribosomal RNA (513 nucleotides) under uncultured Pseudomonadota bacterium. Its description in RNAcentral is "bacterial SSU rRNA". It matches the Rfam family "Bacterial small subunit ribosomal RNA", at positions 392 to 896 of the family's 1533-position model. The record is from RNAcentral. Lineage: Bacteria; Pseudomonadati; Pseudomonadota.